AUAGAAUUUUAUAUUAACUUUACCUAGCGGUUAAUGCUGGUUUUUUGUUAAUAUUUGGUUGGGAGGAUUAUUAAAUUUAACAAACUUUAUAUCAUUAUAAACUUUGAUUUAAGAAAAUAUAAUGACCUUCAAUUUGAAAUAGUUAGAGUAAAUUACCUUAGGGAUAACAGCGUAAUAUUUUUUUAUAGACCUUAUAGAAAAAAAUGGUUGCGACCUCGAUGUUGAAUUAAGAUAAAUUUUAAAUGCAGGAGUUUAAUAAUUAAGUCUGUU
RNAcentral lists this ribosomal RNA (270 nucleotides) under Lepidotrigona ventralis. Its description in RNAcentral is "partial large subunit ribosomal RNA". The record is from RNAcentral. Lineage: Eukaryota; Metazoa; Arthropoda; Insecta; Hymenoptera; Apidae.